Molecule: ribosomal RNA, 258 nt
Filed under: uncultured bacterium
Lineage: Bacteria
Description: partial 16S ribosomal RNA
Rfam family: Bacterial small subunit ribosomal RNA
Source: RNAcentral
CGGCGGACGGGUGAGUAACGCGUGGGUAACCUGCCUCAUACAGGGGGAUAACAGUUAGAAAUGACUGCUAAUACCGCAUAAGACCACAGGGCCGCAUGGCCCGGUGGUAAAAACUCCGGUGGUAUGAGAUGGACCCGCGUCUGAUUAGCUGGUUGGUGGGGUAACGGCCUACCAAGGCAACGAUCAGUAGCCGACCUGAGAGGGUGACCGGCCACAUUGGGACUGAGACACGGCCCAAACUCCUACGGAAGGCAGCAG